Molecule: ribosomal RNA, 440 nt
Filed under: uncultured bacterium
Lineage: Bacteria
Description: partial 16S ribosomal RNA
Rfam family: Bacterial small subunit ribosomal RNA
Source: RNAcentral
CCUACGGGUGGCAGCAGUGGGGAAUAUUGCUCAAUGGGGGAAACCCUGAUGCAGCGACGCCGCGUGAGGGAUGAAGUAUUUCGGUAUGUAAAGCCCUAUCAGCAGGGAAUAAAAUGACGGUACCUGACUAAGAAGCACCGGCUAACUACGUGCCAGCAGCCGCGGUAAUACGUAGGGGGCAAGCGUUAUCCGGAUUUACUGGGUGUAAAGGGAGCGUAGACGGUAGAGCAAGUCUGAAGUGAAAGCCCGCGGCUUAACUGCGGGACUGCUUUUGAAACUGUUCAACUGGAGUGCUGGAGAGGUAAGCGGAAUGCGUAGUGUAGCGGUGAAAUGCGUAGAUAUGAGGAGGAACACCAGUGGCGAAGGCGGCUUACUGGACAGUAACUGACGUUGAGGCUCGAAAGCGUGGGGAGCAAACAGGAUUAGAUACCCUAGUAGUC